This 222-nucleotide ribosomal RNA is filed under the name uncultured bacterium. RNAcentral describes it as "partial 16S ribosomal RNA". It matches the Rfam family "Bacterial small subunit ribosomal RNA", at positions 114 to 334 of the family's 1533-position model. The record is from RNAcentral.
CACGUGGGUAAUCUGCCCUUCGAUGGGGAAUAACCUCGCGAAAGCGAGGCUAAUUCCGCAUAACAUUCCGAUGAUUUAGGUUGUUGGAUUCAAAGCCGUAAGGCGUCGGAGGAGGAGCCCGCGCACGAUUAGCUAGUUGGUGAGGUAACGGCUCACCAAGGCUAUGAUCGUUAGCUGGUCUGAGAGGAUGGCCAGCCACACUGGAACUGAGACACGGUCCAG